RNAcentral lists this ribosomal RNA (493 nucleotides) under uncultured bacterium. RNAcentral describes it as "partial 16S ribosomal RNA". It matches the Rfam family "Bacterial small subunit ribosomal RNA", at positions 28 to 507 of the family's 1533-position model. The record is from RNAcentral.
GAUGAACGCUGGCGGCGUGCCUAAUACAUGCAAGUAGAACGCUGAAGGAGGAGCUUGCUCUUCUGGAUGAGUUGCGAACGGGUGAGUAACGCGUAGGUAACCUGCCUGGUAGCGGGGGAUAACUAUUGGAAACGAUAGCUAAUACCGCAUGACAACAGUUAUUGCAUGAUAACUGUUUAAACGGGGAACCUUCCCCGCUUCAAUGUGCCCCUGGUGUGUUUUCUAGGUUGGGGGGGAAAGGGUCACCCAAGGGGAGAUACAUAUCCCGCCUGGGAGGGUGAUCGGCCAAACUGGGACUGAGACAAGGCCCAGAAUCCUACGGGAGGCAGCAGUAGGGAAUCUUCGGCAAUGGACGGAAGGCUGACCGAGGAACGCCGGGUGAGUGAAGAAGGGUUUCGGAUCGUAAAGCUCUGUUGUAAGAGAAGAACGAGUGGGAGAGUGAAAAGUUCACGCUGUGACGGUAUCUAACCAGAAAGGGACGGCUAACUACGUG